UUCCAACAUACAGCCUACAUUGCUGGCCUGAGACUUGUGGCAAAAAAGACUUUCAAAAUCUAAUUUGCUCACAUACAUGAACACCUGCCAGGAAGGAAUUUGAGGCCUUUGGUCUAAACAUGGAAAAGCUGAGUUCAUUUGCCCCAGAGGGGGCACCUGCAGGGAAAAGGAAAAAUGGUUUUAACCCUUUCCUUGAGUCAGAAAAUGAGGCCACCAGAUUCUCCUUUCAUCCUUCAAGUAUCAGAAAGGUCUGUGCUGUGAAUUCCACAGAUGAGAUUCAUUGCAAGAUGUGAGGGCAGAGGAAAUCCAUGGAAAUGAGUUGGGUUUUCACCAUGUUGCCCAGGCUGGCCUCGAACUCCUAGGCUCAAGCAAUCCUCCCGCUUUGGCCUCUCAAAGAGCUGGCAUUACAAGUGUGAGCCACCACGCCCAGCUUUGUACUUUCUUAAUGAUGUGAAAAGACAUCUGAGUAAAUCUGUAGUUGAGAGUGCAGGAAAAAGAAACUCUAUCACACACUCUUUUGUCAACCGAAUUGCAGAAGUCCACAUUCAAACUGGAUGCAUGCAUUCAGCAACUGGAAGCUGAGUUCAUAUUUCAUUGCCCAACUACCCUGACCACUUGGGAAUCGCAGGUUUGGAAGGACCCACUGCCAUUCUGUGGAAAUGGAUCUGCUUUCAGGACCGAAUCUCAGACUUCUUGGGGAAGGUUUCAGUGGCUGCCUUUGCUGUACAGACCUGGAGAUGGGUCUGAUGAUCGGACACCUGAAUUAUCUGUGUGGCUGAGUUUCAAGAAGACCUGCUGGGGUGAAAUGAAAAUGGUGCCUACUAGAAGCCCCAGUGGCCUUGCUGGUGGAGGUUAGCUUGCUCAUGUCCUCAUACAGAAGCAGAGAUGCAAGCAAGUGAGAAGGUGGAAGGACUCAGGUCUUGGGCCUUACUCUGAGAACUAUAAUACCAUUCCUUCUGCUGCAUUCUCUUGUCUAAAUUACAUGGAUGAAGCUGGAAGCCAUCAUUCUCAGCAAACUAACACAAGGACAGAAAACCAAACACCGUGUGUUCUCACUCAUAGAUUUGCUCCUCCACUGGCUCUUCUUGUACACACACGACUGCUACAGUAUCAAGGGUCUCAUGCAGACAUGACAAUAUCAAGAGGAAGACGAGAGGCUCGCUCUUCCCAGGCUUUUGCUUUUAAGAGCAGAAAAACUUUCCCCAGAGUUCCACCAGCUCACUUCCCAUCUUACUUCUUUGGCCAGAACUGGCCCUUGUGCCCAUAUUGUCAGUCAAAUACUGACAAAGGAAAGGGGCCACUGUGAGUGGUUUAGACUUGGAUUGGAUUUGUCCUUAUUGGAUUGUCCUUAAGUCCUUUGAAAAAGAGGUAUACAACAGAAUGAAAUCUUGACUCGGCUUUCAAGAAUGAAGAGGGUGAGAUGACUGAUGGAUGGCUAGCAAAAUCAGAUGUGGGCUCUGUCCUCAUGGAGCAUACAGUCAGAAGGGGAAGAUUUACCUAAUUACACUAACAAACUUAUAACUGUGGUCAGUGUUCUGAAGGAAAGGAAAUCCAGUUGUAUGGUAACAUAUAACAAAGAAACUGAACUAGGAUGGAGAUGGGGGUGGUUAAGUGUGGUUGGGGAAGCCAGGGACAUGAUCUGUAGGAUGGCUGGCCUGGAUUCAAAUUCCACUCCACUUACUUGCUGUGUGAUUUUAGAUAAGUCGCUUCUCCUCUCUGAGCUCAACUUCAUCUAUAACAAUCUUUCCUAGGGUUGUUAAAGGAUUGAAUGAGCCACUCUAUGUAACCACUUGGCACAUAGUAGGCACUUCAGUGGCUCCUUUUCCAGAUUAAAGAAGGAGAAAACGUGUAUGUUUGGAGUUAGCACAAGACAGGAUGAUUCCUCAUGUUUGUUUUGGAAAACAAGUCUUAAACUCACAGCCAUGACAGAAUCUGACAUCAUCAGACAUCAGGCGUGUUAAGAAUUGCACUCUUAAUUGAAAAUGUCCAGAGUUUGUGAUUAAUUGCAAUCCUUUUCAGAUCCUUUCCCUAAGAAUUUAAUUUUUCUCCCCACCCACCCGGAGGUCAGGCUUUUAAUGUAACAAGUACAAUCAAUCUUCCACUGAAGAUGGCCUCUCUCUAGUGCAAGCUGGAGCAGGACUCAUCUGGAUUAGAAGCCUAGACGGUUUGGAGUCACCUGGUGAGGUUUACGUGCACAGCUGGGGCCCAGCCUACCUAAUUAGGACCAGAGAGUGGUCGAGAAGGGGACGGGUGCGUAUUCUAGGCGCCCUCCUCCAGUGUCUGUUUCUAAUAACGGCAGCAAGUAGCAGAGGCGGCGGGGUGAGCGUGGAGCGUGGUGACAUCAUCCCUCCAGCUGUUUUACACAUCUGUGACAUGGCUCAUUAGGACUCUCUUAACACCUCAUCCUUCCCUGCUCCACACAGCUCCAGUUGCAUGAGAAAAGGUGCUCUUGCAUGUGAGGGGCCCCAAGACUGGGGCUGACUUCAGGGUCAAAGAUUCGCUUGGGCACUCUACCAGUCAUCAGAAUUUUCACAGAGACACCGCCCCCCCUCACACACACCCGCAGCAUGCGCUCCUUGAAAGUGCUAAUAGCUUCAAUAUGAGGCUGGCACUUCUGCAUGACUGUUGGUGUUCAGGGCCAGCCUAGUCUUGGGGAGUAGGCCAUCUGUAGCAGCUGCAGAAAUGUUUUUGCUUAUUUUGAGCAUUCUAAGUUUUUCCUAGCCAUGAAUAACAACAAUCGAAUAAAUCAUCCCACAGUGUGUAGGAUGGUCGUUUUUUUGUUUUUUGUUUUUCAGCAAGAACAACAAAAAAUGACAUAUCAUGUACUAUGGAUAAUACACAUAAAAAAUUCCGCCAUAUUUAUAGGCAGUGGUUAACUAACUAUAUUUAGAUAUUUGAAACUGUCUUAAAUCAGAUGCAUGAGAAAAGCUUCCUGGAUUUCAGUGGAAAGCCUAAAUGACUAAACC
Molecule: long non-coding RNA, 2966 nt
Organism: Gorilla gorilla gorilla (western lowland gorilla)
Lineage: Eukaryota; Metazoa; Chordata; Mammalia; Primates; Hominidae
Exons: 5
Source: RefSeq, a predicted model, not a curated record